GAUGAACGCUGGCGGCGUGCUUAACACAUGCAAGUCGAACGGGAAACCUUUUAAUGAAGCUUCGGCAGAUUUAGCUGGUUUCUAGUGGCGGACGGGUGAGUAACGCGUGGGUAACCUGCCUUAUACAGGGGGAUAACAGUCAGAAAUGACUGCUAAUACCGCAUAAGCGCACAGGACCGCAUGGUCCGGUGUGAAAAACUCCGGUGGUAUAAGAUGGACCCGCGUUGGAUUAGCUUGUUGGUGGGGUAACGGCUCACCAAGGCGACGAUCCAUAGCCGGCCUGAGCGGGUGAACGGCCACAUUGGGACUGAGACACGGCCCAGACUCCUACGGGAGGCAGCAGUGGGGAAUAUUGCACAAUGGGGGAAACCCUGAUGCAGCGACGCCGCGUGAAGGAAGAAGUAUCUCGGUAUGUAAACUUCUAUCAGCAGGGAAGAUAGUGACGGUACCUGACUAAGAAGCCCCGGCUAACUACGUG
This 478-nucleotide ribosomal RNA is filed under the name uncultured bacterium. Its description in RNAcentral is "partial 16S ribosomal RNA". It matches the Rfam family "Bacterial small subunit ribosomal RNA", at positions 28 to 507 of the family's 1533-position model. The record is from RNAcentral.